RNAcentral lists this ribosomal RNA (304 nucleotides) under uncultured bacterium. RNAcentral's name for it is "partial 16S ribosomal RNA". It matches the Rfam family "Bacterial small subunit ribosomal RNA", at positions 506 to 807 of the family's 1533-position model. The record is from RNAcentral.
CAGCAGCAGCCGCGGGAAUACGGAGGGUGCAAGCGUUAAUCGGAAUUACUGGGCGUAAAGCGCACGCAGGCGGUCUGUCAAGUCAGAUGUGAAAUCCCCGGGCUUAACCUGGGAACUGCAUUUGAAACUGGCAGGCUAGAGUCUUGUAGAGGGGGGUAGAAUUCCAGGUGUAGCGGUGAAAUGCGUAGAGAUCUGGAGGAAUACCGGUGGCGAAGGCGGCCCCCUGGACAAAGACUGACGCUCAGGUGCGAAAGCGUGGGGAGCAAACAGGAUUAGAUACCCCUGUAGUCCCUGUCUCUUAUAC